This 627-nucleotide ribosomal RNA is filed under the name uncultured bacterium. Its description in RNAcentral is "bacterial SSU rRNA". It matches the Rfam family "Bacterial small subunit ribosomal RNA", at positions 554 to 1183 of the family's 1533-position model. The record is from RNAcentral.
CUGGGCGUAAGGGUGCGUAGGCGGAUAUUUAAGUCAGAUGUGAAAACCCCGGGCUUAACUUGGGGACUGCAUUUGAAACUGGAUAUCUAGAGUGCAGGAGAGGAAAGCGGAAUUCCUAGUGUAGCGGUGAAAUGCGUAGAGAUUAGGAAGAACACCAGUGGCGAAGGCGGCUUUCUGGACUGUAACUGACGCUGAGGCACGAAAGCGUGGGUAGCAAACAGGAUUAGAUACCCUGGUAGUCCACGCCGUAAACGAUGAGUACUAGGUGUAGGAGGUAUCGACCCCUUCUGUGCCGCAGUAAACACAAUAAGUACUCCGCCUGGGAAGUACGAUCGCAAGAUUAAAACUCAAAGGAAUUGACGGGGGCCCGCACAAGCAGCGGAGCAUGUGGUUUAAUUCGAAGCAACGCGAAGAACCUUACCUGGACUUGACAUCCCCUGAAUAACCUAGAGAUAGGCGAAGCCCUUCGGGGCAGGGAGACAGGUGGUGCAUGGUUGUCGUCAGCUCGUGUCGUGAGAUGUUAGGUUAAGUCCUGCAACGAGCGCAACCCCUAUUGUUAGUUGCUAACAUUAAGUUGAGCACUCUAAUAAGACUGCCCGGGUUAACCCGGGAGGAAGUGGGGAUGAC